UUCGAACUCGAAAAGGGGGCUGGGUACGUUUUCUGAACCACUCCAAAACGAUGGAGUUGCAUAACUUCAGAAAACAACGGCAGUUUGUGGGCAAGGCAAGCCCACUCGAUGCUAAUCAACCAAGGGGCACACACACCCCUCUAUCGUCAACGCCCCCUCCACAAUCUCCCUCCCCGAUAGGUCCAGGCAGAGAUGGAAAAAAACAACAACAAGGGCUUUAAAAACAUCCACAUUGUUCCGUCCAUCAGUAACAUCUGGUUAUCAAACCGGGGUACUGUGGCUACAUUCUCCUGUUUUUCGGCACAUUGUUUAUUCUCCUCCAUCUCCGGGGAGGACAGAAAUCAAAGUUUACAGUUUUUUUCUUGCGUGAACUCAAAACGCGAACAUGCCCAGCAAGAGGAAGAAGAACAAGCGCCGCAUGAGAAGGGUGCAGGCCCAGAGGAGAGUCCUUGAGGAGCAGCAUUCUACUGGCGCAGGCAAAGGAACCCCAGGAGUGGCUGCCGUGGCACCCCCCCUUGAAAUAUUAAAUUGUCCCCCCCUUCUCUCACCCCCUCCAGUAGUAAAGGUCCCAGUCGUAAAGCCCCCUGAAAUAUCCAAUUGUCACCCCCUUAUUCCCCCCACUAUAGUAGUAAAGGUCCCAUUCGUACAGCCACCGGCCCCAGUCAAAGUACCAGAUCCUGAGGCUGUGGUGACGGUGGUAGAGCCUGAAGUGGUAGCAGCUGAGGUUGAAGUUGAGGCCCCAGUCGAAGCUCCAGUGGAGGUUGAAGUCGAGGCCCCAGAAGAAGUUCCAGAAGAAGUCCCAGUCGAGGCCCCAGAAGAAGUCCCAGUCGAGGCCCCAGUCGAGGCCCCAGAAGAAGUCCCAGUCGAGGCCCCAGAAGAAGUCCCAGUCGAGGCCCCAGAAAAAGUCCCAGUCGAGGCCCCAGAAGAAGUCCCAGUCGAGGCCCCAGAAGAAGUCCCAGCCGAGACCCCAGAAGAAGUCCCAGUCGAGGCCCCAGAAGAAGUCCCAGUCGAGGCCCCAGAAGAAGUCCCAGUCGAGGCCCCAGAAGAAGUCCCAGUCGAGGCCCCAGAAGAAGUCCCAGUCGAGGCCCCAGAAGAAGUCCCAGUCGAGACCCCAGAAGAAGUCCCAGUCGAGGCUCCAGAAGAAGUCCCAGUUGAGGUCCCAGUCGUAGAAGCAGAAGCUCCUGUUGAGCCCCCUACAGAAGAAACUGCAGCAGGGCAGGAAGUUGAAGAAAGCAUCAUUCCAGAGACUGAGCCAGUAACUGAGGCCAUACCCAUUCCUGAGGCCCCUGUGUCAGCUCUUGCUGAAUUUGAGGUUCAGGUCGCAAACUCCGUAGCGAUUACCACAGAGAUCGCACAGACUCAUGAUGAGCCGGGGCUCGAGGCUGAAGUGGAGGCUGAAAUAGUUGACGAGGUCCAAGCGAAAGUAGAGGCAGUAGUUGAGGAAGAACCAGAGCCCGAUCCCAUGGUCAAGGCCGAAGCUGCCCCAGUUGUAGAAGCUGAACUUGAACUGUCGGGAAUCAAAGACGGAGACAGUCCUAUCGUCAAAGCUGAAGCCAUUCCUGAAGAUAUUGAUGUAGAAGAGCAUGAGACUGUUAUGGCAGAGGCACCUGAAGAGGUUCCAGUGCAGACAGAAAUUAUCCCAGAAAAGCUGUGGAAGCCCGUGGAAGCACCGAUUGAAGAAGCCCCCGUAGCCAAGAUCGCUCCAGCAGAGCUCCUCGUAGAGGCCUCAGUAGACCCUGUCAUCAACACAAUGGCUGACUUUGCCAUCACAGAAUCUGUUCCCGUUGUGGAAGCAGCCAUGGCUGAGCAGGUGCCCGCAGUUUCAACGGAUUCACUUGACGCCCUAUCGGAGUUGCUGAACGACAUCACUCUAGUCACUGAGCCCGCCCCUGUCACAGCUGAUAAAGUCAUUGACGAGCCAGAGUGUGAGGAGAAAGACGUGACAGAGAUGAGGGUGAGAGACAAUGCACUUCCACCCAAUUACCGGCCCUGCUCGGAGGACCUGCUGGUCAGAGUUGAAUCAUAAUAACCUAAACUUCUCAUCCACUCACUAAUUUUGAAUUCAACCAACUCUUUACUCUAUCACCUUGCUAUAUAAUAACCUUAACACAAUCAAACACUUGGGUGUAGGCUAUCCUCUCAUAACUUCUAAUUUUAAAUGCUCUCGCACAUUUUGAAAUGUGGCAUUCCAGGGGUUCUUCCUCUCUCAUGGGUUUCUCUCUGCCAUCUGUGGAUUGAUCCUCCCUCGCCUCUCUCCUUGUGGUCUUCCUUUUUACAUUCUGUUCAUUCCCUUGGUUGUGGGCUGCUCCAGCUUGUUUCAUUGCAUUGGGCAUGCCAAGUACUGUAGUUGGACUACUGGUUUAUUUUUUACUACUCUGGUAUUGAUUAAUUAGGAUCCCCAUUAGCGACAGCUAGUCUUACUGGGGUCCGACAACGAGAAAUACAUUUGACCAAAAAAAUACUUUACAAUUGUUACGCAUGCCUCUUGGGAGGGAACGCAACACCCUGCAACACUCAACUCCGUGGAGUGAAAGCGGUAUGGGAUUGCAGGUAAGGAUGACAAAGGCAGAGAAUUACACCAUUAACAGGGAAUUUAUUCCUUCACACGGUAAUUCUGGGUCAAAGGGUCUGGACUGAACCAAAGCAAAGAAAGUAAAAGUUAGAGCCCACUCUCCUACCCACAAUUUAUCUAUUUUUAACACCACCUGGCGUGCUAACCAAAAUACAGGGGGUAGUCCGCUCAGGUCUUACCUAGUGUGCAUAGACAGUACAUACUACGAGUAUAUGUAUGCCCGCAGGCCUCUUGCCUAAGCACUCCCAAGGUGCCUUCCCCUACCCCCCUGGGAACAAAUUAAACAGAUUAAUACAAAGAAUUUCAAUAAUCAAAACAGUCCUUUUGACAUAAACAUACCUCUGCAGAACCGGCUACAAAAUACUUUUCAAAAAGUGUCUGAGCAACAACCAACACAGAAUAUCAAAGACGCUCUCCCUGAGCAACAAACAAUACUGAGGCAUACCCUUUUAAGCUGCAGAAGGAGUCUAAUUGAAGACAGCUGUAUCCUUUGACGAGAAGGCGGGGUCAGAGCUCCAAUUAUCGAUGGGACCGACCAAUCAGCUGCUUAGGACUUCAGGAAGCUAUUUCCUGAAAUACACACAUAGACACAUACAAACCCACAACAACACAGAAACUGGGGAACGUAACACAAUUUACAUACAUUUAAAAACAUGUAAUGUGUGUGCAUCUAUCAGUUACACGUCAGUACAUAUACACAAAGCCAGAGUUCACAUGGGGUAAGAAGCAUUGUUGGGAAAGAGCUUGCAAGAAAGGCACUUCACUGUACUUGUGCACGUGACAACUUGAAACUUAGUGGUGCGCUCAACAACAUUGACUGUCUGCGUUUCCUUUCACAGGCUAAAGAGGAAAUUGGAGCCCAGAUGGAAAUCGAGGCUAAAAAGGAUGCCAUAGAUGAGAAGACGGUCCUUGACGUCAUCUCUGGAGAUUUAUCCACCCCCCACCCUGUUAUCUCAGAACUGCAGUGUCACACGCAGCUCGCCGCCCCCAAGGAAAUCCCAACAGAGGCAGUGCUGAAUGGACAGAUGGCAGCUGAGGUGGCCAUUGAGGGAUAGAUCUCUAUGGGUGACGACUUGUUCAAUCUCCCUAAACACUGAGUUUGAAUGCAUAAGGUCUGGAUUGGCAUUAACAUCCUGUUAUUGUUCCUGUCUCCCCACAGAUGUCCUCAGUCAGUAUGAAAGACUAAAGAGAGCCUGACAGUGAGCCGACCAGCGAACUUUACUUUUCAUUUUUUAGGGCUUAAAGGGACCGCUGGGAAAUUUGACAGACAUCCAACACUCAGUGCCUUUCUUGCUUGGGUUCUUACAAACAAAAUAUUAAACAAGUUUAAAAUGCGACAUGAAGGUGGGGGAAUAACACUUUUUUGUUGUUGAUCAGAAUGUGACAAUUUGGAAUAAACAAAUCAUGGCUUUCAUAGAUUUCUGUAUCCCAUUGCAUAUAUUGUGGAUUUGCCUCAAUUGUAAAUGGCAUGCAUUGUGUAUGAAUACUGUAGAAUUAAUGAAUGUGGCAAUGGCUUGUCUUCACAUGUUUGUAUGGAUGAGAGGGAUUAAUUCCUUGUACACGUUUCCUGUUUUAACCUGGUUUGAUUCCUUUUUGUGAAGGGACAGUAUGGCAGUUUGUACAGUACCAUAGCUACCCCCUCUUCUCCCUAUCCCCAUUGUGGUACUUUUGUUUUUUCAGGGACUGUAUGAUGACAGCUCCACCCUCUUUACUGUGUAGUGUCAGUGUGUCUACAGUCCCAAGUCUGUCCUGGGCAAUGUGAAAUGGUGUGUAGUUUUAGGUCCUCUGACCAGAUGCUCUUAACAUUUAAUUACCUAUGCUGCCAACUUAAAAUAGAGUAUGGGGGCCUGUAGAUCCUGUUUUUAGUUUUUCUUUUCUUUUUCUGUUUUGUAUAGACCAUAUGAUGUGGUACAACCGCUGUUUGUGUUCAGUUACGUGCUCUGGAAUUGACCAUGGAGUUGUCAUGUAAUUGAGGAGCUGGGUUGGAUUUCAUUCACCUUUUUGAAUAAAGAUGUUACUCACCAAGUUCUUG
Molecule: long non-coding RNA, 4604 nt
Organism: Oncorhynchus tshawytscha (Chinook salmon)
Lineage: Eukaryota; Metazoa; Chordata; Actinopteri; Salmoniformes; Salmonidae
Source: Ensembl